Molecule: small nucleolar RNA, 83 nt
Organism: Schizosaccharomyces osmophilus
Lineage: Eukaryota; Fungi; Ascomycota; Schizosaccharomycetes; Schizosaccharomycetales; Schizosaccharomycetaceae
Source: RefSeq, a predicted model, not a curated record
CCAAAAUAUGAUGAUCAAAAAAUACAAGAGUCAAGCACUGAUGUGCAAAAAGCACUGUGUUGAGUUAUUCGGUCUGAUUUUGG